Long non-coding RNA from Lynx canadensis (Canada lynx), 270 nucleotides. RefSeq lists it as uncharacterized. The transcript is spliced from 3 exons. The record is from RefSeq and is a predicted model, not a curated record. Lineage: Eukaryota; Metazoa; Chordata; Mammalia; Carnivora; Felidae.
GUUGAAGGGCCGCCGGGGGUCUGAUGGGCCGGACACGGGCUUUCCAGGCCCCCGAGGCCACCAGGAACCGAGUGAGGGAUCCAAGCAGAUAAGCUUUCUCUGCGGGGCCUCAUCAGCCUGGUGUCAUACAGAUGGGGGUGCGAGAGGAAGGAUAGGUGUUGGGGUGAACCACCCGCUGAGGGCUGUGGCCAGCAAUCACACAACCCCUCCCGGCCGUUCUCAGGCCUCCUCGCCCUCUCUUCCCGAGAUUGGCAAGUGCACACGUCGGAA